CACAGAGUUAGCCGGUGCUUUUUCUGUGGGUUAGGUCAAAAUGCAGAGGUAUUAACCCUGCACAUUUCAUCCCCACUAAAAGUGCUUUACAACCCGCAGGCCUUCUUCACACACGCGGCGUCGCUGGAUCAGGGUUUCCCCCAUUGUCCAAUAUUCCCCACUGCUGCCUCCCGUAGGAGUCUGGGCCGUGUCUCAGUCCCAGUGUGGCUGGUCGUCCUCUCAGACCAGCUACGGAUCGUCGCCUUGGUAGGCCGUUACCCUACCAACUAGCUAAUCCGACUUCGGCUCAUCUUUUGGCGCAAGGUCUUGCGAUCCCCUGCUUUCUCCCGUAGGACGUAUGCGGUAUUAGCUAACCUUUCGGCUAGUUAUUCCCCACCAUAAGGUAGAUUCCGAAGCAUUACUCACCCGUUCGCCGCUCGUCAGCAUGUAUUGCUACACCUGUUACCGCUCGACUUGCAUGUGUUAGGCACGCCGCCAGCGUUCAAUCUGAGCCAGGAUCAAACUCU
Molecule: ribosomal RNA, 506 nt
Filed under: uncultured Gammaproteobacteria bacterium
Lineage: Bacteria; Pseudomonadati; Pseudomonadota; Gammaproteobacteria
Description: partial 16S ribosomal RNA
Source: RNAcentral